AGAAUCAACGCUGGCGGCGUGCCUCAGACAUGCAAGUCGAACGCGAAAGUCCCCUUCUGGGGACAAGUAGAGUGGCGCACGGGUGAGUAACACGUAGGUAAUCUACCUUCGGAUGGGGAAUAACAACCGGAAACGGUUGCUAAUACCGCAAUAAUGCAGCGGCACCUAAUGGUGACAGUUGUUAAAGCGGGGGAUCGAAAGACCUCGCGUCUGAAGAGGAGCCUGCGGCGGAUUAGCUAGGUUGGUAGGGUAACGGCCUAACCGAAGGCGACGAUCC
Molecule: ribosomal RNA, 277 nt
Filed under: uncultured soil bacterium
Lineage: Bacteria
Description: partial 16S ribosomal RNA
Rfam family: Bacterial small subunit ribosomal RNA
Source: RNAcentral